UGCCGCGUGCAGGAUGACGGUCCUAUGGAUUGUAAACUGCUUUUGCACAGGAAGAAACACUCCGACGUGUCGGAGCUUGACGGUACUGUGAGAAUAAGGAUCGGCUAACUCCGUGCCAGCAGCCGCGGUAAUACGGAGGAUCCAAGCGUUAUCCGGAAUCAUUGGGUUUAAAGGGUCCGUAGGCGGUCUUGUAAGUCAGUGGUGAAAGCCCAUCGCUCAACGGUGGAACGGCCAUUGAUACUGCAGGACUUGAAUUAUUGGGAAGUAACUAGAAUAUGUAGUGUAGCGGUGAAAUGCUUAGAGAUUACAUGGAAUACCAAUUGCGAAGGCAGGUUACUACCAAUUUAUUGACGCUGAUGGACGAAAGCGUGGGUAGCGAACAGGAUUAGAUACCCUGGUAGUCCACGCCGUAAACGAUGGAUACUAGCUGUUGGGAGCAAUCUCAGUGGCUAAGCGAAAGUGAUAAGUAACCCACCUGGGGAGUACGAACGCAAGUUUGAAACUCACAGGAAUUGACGGGGGCCCGCACAAGCGGUGGAGCAUGUGGUUUAAUUCGAUGAUACGCGAGGAACCUUACCAAGGCUUAUAUGCAGACUGACCGAUUUGGAAACAGAUCUGUCGCAAGACAGUU
This 631-nucleotide ribosomal RNA is filed under the name Flavobacterium sp. So3Ps_1855. RNAcentral's name for it is "bacterial SSU rRNA". It matches the Rfam family "Bacterial small subunit ribosomal RNA", at positions 395 to 1031 of the family's 1533-position model. The record is from RNAcentral. Lineage: Bacteria; Pseudomonadati; Bacteroidota; Flavobacteriia; Flavobacteriales; Flavobacteriaceae.